CAAAGGAAUUGACGGGGAGCACCACAACGGUGGAGCUUGCGGUUAAUUGGAUUCAACGCCGGAAAUCGUUACCGGACCGACAGCAAUAUGAAGGCCAGGCUGAAGACUUUGCCGGAUUAGCUGAGAGGUGGUGCAUGGCCGUCGUCAGUUCGUACUGUGAAGCAUCCUGUUAAGUCAGGCAACGAGCGAGACCCACGCCCACAGUUGCCAGCGUACUCUCCGGAGUGACGGGUACACUGUUGGGACCGCCUCUGCUAAAGAGGAGGAAGGAAUGGGCAACGGUAGGUCAGCAUGCCCCGAAUUAAUUGGGCUACACGCGGGCUACAAUGGGUGGGACAAUGGGUAUCGACACCGAAAGGUGAAGGCAAUCUCCUAAACCCAUCCGUAGUUCGGAUUGUGGGCUGCAACUCGCCCACAUGAAGCUGGAAUCUGUAGUAAUCGUGUUUCAAAAUAGCACGGUGAAUAUGUCCCUGCUCCUU
This 479-nucleotide ribosomal RNA is filed under the name uncultured Methanolinea sp. RNAcentral describes it as "bacterial SSU rRNA". It matches the Rfam family "Archaeal small subunit ribosomal RNA", at positions 857 to 1338 of the family's 1478-position model. The record is from RNAcentral. Lineage: Archaea; Methanobacteriati; Methanobacteriota; Methanomicrobia; Methanomicrobiales; Methanoregulaceae.